UUCAGUAGGGACGAAGCGCGAGUGACGGUACCUACAGAAGAAGGACCGGCCAACUACGUGCCAGCAGCCGCGGUAAUACGUAGGGUCCGAGCGUUGUCCGGGAUUACUGGGCGUAAAGAGCUCGUAGGUGGUUUGUCGCGUUGUUCGUGAAAACUCACAGCUCAACUGUGGGCGUGCGGGCGAUACGGGCAGACUGGAGUACUGCAGGGGAGACUGGAAUUCCUGGUGUAGCGGUGGAAUGCGCAGAUAUCAGGAGGAACACCGGUGGCGAAGGCGGGUCUCUGGGCAGUAACUGACGCUGAGGAGCGAAAGCGUGGGGAGCGAACAGGAUUAGAUACCCUGGUAGUCCACGCCGUAAACGGUGGGUACUAGGUGUGGGUUUCCUUCCUUGGGAUCCGUGCCGUAGCUAACGCAUUAAGUACCCCGCCUGGGGAGUACGGCCGCAAGGCUAAAACUCAAAGAAAUUGACGGGGGCCCGCACAAGCGGCGGAGCAUGUGGAUUAAUUCGAUGCAACGCGAAGAACCUUACCUGGGUUUGACAUGCACAGGACGCCGGCAGAGAUGUCGGUUCCCUUGUGGCCUGUGUGCAGGUGGUGCAUGGCUGUCGUCAGCUCGUGUCGUGAGAUGUUGGGUUAAGUCCCGCAACGAGCGCAACCCCUAUCUUAUGUUGCCAGCGCGUGAUGGCGGGGACUCGUAAGAGACUGCCGGGGUCAACUCGGAGGAAGGUGGGGAUGACGUCAAGUCAUCAUGCCCCUUAUGUCCAGGGCUUCACACAUGCUACAAUGGCCGGUACAGAGGGCUGCGAUGCCGUGAGGUGGAGCGAAUCCUUUAAAGCCGGUCUCAGUUCGGAUCGGGGUCUGCAACUCGACCCCGUGAAGUCGGAGUCGCUAGUAAUCGCAGAUCAGCAACGCUGCGGUGAAUACGUUCCCGGGCCUUGUACACACCGCCCGUCACGUCAUGAAAGUCGGUAACACCCGAAGCCGGUGGCCUAACCCCUCGUGGGA
RNAcentral lists this ribosomal RNA (1004 nucleotides) under Mycobacterium sp. J1US7. RNAcentral describes it as "bacterial SSU rRNA". It matches the Rfam family "Bacterial small subunit ribosomal RNA", at positions 434 to 1448 of the family's 1533-position model. The record is from RNAcentral. Lineage: Bacteria; Bacillati; Actinomycetota; Actinomycetes; Mycobacteriales; Mycobacteriaceae.